This 3128-nucleotide ribosomal RNA is filed under the name Acinetobacter baumannii. RNAcentral's name for it is "bacterial LSU rRNA". It matches the Rfam family "Bacterial large subunit ribosomal RNA". The record is from RNAcentral. Lineage: Bacteria; Pseudomonadati; Pseudomonadota; Gammaproteobacteria; Moraxellales; Moraxellaceae.
GUUGUAUAGUCAAGUAAUUAAGUGCAUGUGGUGGAUGCCUUGGCAGUCAGAGGCGAUGAAAGACGUGAUAGCCUGCGAAAAGCUCCGGGGAGGCGGCAAAUAUCCUUUGAUCCGGAGAUGUCUGAAUGGGGGAACCCACCUACUUUAAGGUAGGUAUUGCAACAUGAAUACAUAGUGUUGCAAGGCGAACGAGGGGAAGUGAAACAUCUCAGUACCCUUAGGAAAAGAAAUCAAUUGAGAUUCCCUCAGUAGCGGCGAGCGAACGGGGAUCAGCCCAUUAAGUUAUGUGUGUUUUAGUGGAACGCUCUGGGAAGUGCGAACGUAGAGGGUGAUAUUCCCGUACACGAAAGGGCACACAUAAUGAUGACGAGUAGGGCGAGGCACGUGAAACCUUGUCUGAAUAUGGGGGGACCAUCCUCCAAGGCUAAAUACUCCUGACUGACCGAUAGUGAACCAGUACCGUGAGGGAAAGGCGAAAAGAACCCCUGUGAGGGGAGUGAAAUAGAUCCUGAAACCGCAUGCAUACAAGCAGUGGGAGCACCUUCGUGGUGUGACUGCGUACCUUUUGUAUAAUGGGUCAGCGACUUAUAUUCAGUAGCAAGGUUAACCGUAUAGGGGAGCCGUAGAGAAAUCGAGUCUUAAUAGGGCGUUUAGUUGCUGGGUAUAGACCCGAAACCAGGCGAUCUAUCCAUGAGCAGGUUGAAGGUUGGGUAACACUAACUGGAGGACCGAACCCACUGUCGUUGAAAAGCCAGGGGAUGACUUGUGGAUAGGGGUGAAAGGCUAAUCAAGCCUGGUGAUAGCUGGUUCUCCCCGAAAGCUAUUUAGGUAGCGCCUCGGACGAAUACCAUAGGGGGUAGAGCACUGUUUCGGCUAGGGGGUCAUCCCGACUUACCAAACCGAUGCAAACUCCGAAUACCUAUGAGUACUAUCCGGGAGACAGACUGCGGGUGCUAACGUCCGUAGUCAAGAGGAAAACAAUCCAGACCGCCAGCUAAGGCCCCAAAAUCAUAGUUAAGUGGGAAACGAUGUGGGAAGGCAUAGACAGCUAGGAGGUUGGCUUANNNNNNNNNNNNNNNNNNNNNNNNNNNNNNNNNNNNNNNNNNNNNNNNNNNGAAGCAGCCACCCUUUAAAGAAAGCGUAAUAGCUCACUAGUCGAGUCGGCCUGCGCGGAAGAUGUAACGGGGCUAAAACUAUGUGCCGAAGCUGCGGAUGUAUACUUUGUAUACGUGGUAGGGGAGCGUUCUGUAAGCCGAUGAAGGUGUGUUGAGAAGNGAAGCAGCCACCCUUUAAAGAAAGCGUAAUAGCUCACUAGUCGAGUCGGCCUGCGCGGAAGAUGUAACGGGGCUAAAACUAUGUGCCGAAGCUGCGGAUUUGACAUUAGUCAAGUGGUAGGGGAGCGUUCUGUAAGCCGAUGAAGGUGUAUUGAGAAGUAUGCUGGAGGUAUCAGAAGUGCGAAUGCUGACGUGAGUAACGACAAAACGGGUGAAAAACCCGUUCGCCGAAAGACCAAGGGUUCCAGUCCAACGUUAAUCGGGGCUGGGUGAGUCGACCCCUAAGGCGAGGCCGAAAGGCGUAGUCGAUGGGAAAAUGGUUAAUAUUCCAUUACUUCUGUGUAAUGCGAUGAGAGGACGGAGAAGGCUAAAUCAGCCUGGCGUUGGUUGUCCAGGUGAAAGGAUGUAGGCAUGUAUCUUAGGCAAAUCCGGGGUACUCUAUGCUGAGAUCUGAUAGCAAGCUGUACUUGUACAGCGAAGUGGUUGAUGCCAUGCUUCCAGGAAAAGUCUCUAAGCUUCAGUUACACAGGAAUCGUACCCGAAACCGACACAGGUGGUCAGGUCGAGUAGACCAAGGCGCUUGAGAGAACUCUGCUGAAGGAACUAGGCAAAAUGGUACCGUAACUUCGGGAGAAGGUACGCUGUUGUUGGUGAUGGAACUCGCUUCCUGAGCUGACGACAGCCGCAGAAACCAGGCCGCUGCAACUGUUUAUUAAAAACAUAGCACUCUGCAAACACGAAAGUGGACGUAUAGGGUGUGAUGCCUGCCCGGUGCUGGAAGGUUAAUUGAUGGGGUUAGCGUAAGCGAAGCUCUUGAUCGAAGCCCCAGUAAACGGCGGCCGUAACUAUAACGGUCCUAAGGUAGCGAAAUUCCUUGUCGGGUAAGUUCCGACCUGCACGAAUGGCAUAAUGAUGGCGGCGCUGUCUCCAGCAGAGGCUCAGUGAAAUCGAAAUCGCUGUGAAGAUGCAGUGUACCCGCGGCUAGACGGAAAGACCCCGUGAACCUUUACUGCAGCUUGACACUGAACUUUGACCUUACUUGUGUAGGAUAGGUGGGAGGCUUUGAAGCUGGAACGCUAGUUCCAGUGGAGCCGUCCUUGAAAUACCACCCUGGUAAUGUUGAGGUUCUAACUCUGUCCCGUGAUCCGGGACGAGGACCGUGUCUGGUGGGUAGUUUGACUGGGGCGGUCUCCUCCUAAAGAGUAACGGAGGAGUACGAAGGUGCGCUCAGCGUGGUCGGAAAUCACGCGUAGAGUAUAAAGGCAAAAGCGCGCUUAACUGCGAGACCCACAAGUCGAGCAGGUACGAAAGUAGGUCUUAGUGAUCCGGUGGUUCUGUAUGGAAGGGCCAUCGCUCAACGGAUAAAAGGUACUCUGGGGAUAACAGGCUGAUACCGCCCAAGAGUUCAUAUCGACGGCGGUGUUUGGCACCUCGAUGUCGGCUCAUCUCAUCCUGGGGCUGAAGCAGGUCCCAAGGGUAUGGCUGUUCGCCAUUUAAAGAGGUACGCGAGCUGGGUUUAGAACGUCGUGAGACAGUUCGGUCCCUAUCUACCGUGGGCGCUGGAAAUUUGAGAGGAUCUGCUCCUAGUACGAGAGGACCAGAGUGGACGAACCUCUGGUGUACCGGUUGUGACGCCAGUCGCAUCGCCGGGUAGCUAUGUUCGGAAGGGAUAACCGCUGAAAGCAUCUAAGCGGGAAGCCUACCUCAAGAUAAGAUUUCCCUAGGACUUUAUGUCCUCUAAAGAGCCGUUCGAGACUAGGACGUUGAUAGGUUGGAUGUGGAAGCAUAGUGAUAUGUGAAGCUGACCAAUACUAAUUGCUCGUGAGGCUUGACUAUACAACACCCAAGCAGUUG